Molecule: ribosomal RNA, 253 nt
Filed under: uncultured bacterium
Lineage: Bacteria
Description: partial 16S ribosomal RNA
Rfam family: Bacterial small subunit ribosomal RNA
Source: RNAcentral
UACGUAGGGUGCAAGCGUUAUCCGGGAUUAUUGGGCGUAAAGAGCUCGUAGGCGGUUUGUCGCGUCUGCUGUGAAAACCGGAGGCUCAACCUCCGGCCUGCAGUGGGUACGGGCAAACUAGAGUGCGGUAGGGGAGAUUGGAAUUCCUGGUGUAGCGGUGGAAUGCGCAGAUAUCAGGAGGAACACCGAUGGCGAAGGCAGAUCUCUGGGCCGUAACUGACGCUGAGGAGCGAAAGCGUGGGGAGCGAACAGG